RNAcentral lists this microRNA precursor (101 nucleotides) under Ixodes scapularis (black-legged tick). Its description in RNAcentral is "microRNA isc-mir-375 precursor". Its record names the gene isc-mir-375. The stretch from base 18 to 85 matches the Rfam family "mir-375 microRNA precursor family". Lineage: Eukaryota; Metazoa; Arthropoda; Arachnida; Ixodida; Ixodidae. The record is from miRBase by way of RNAcentral.
CACAAAACCAGCCGAGUGCUGACUCGAGCUGCCCGUGCAAAACUGGAACCACUGCGUUGUUUUGUUCGUUCGGCUCGAGUUAGAAACCGGUGUGGACACAA